GACAGAGGGUGCAAACGUUGUUCGGAAUUACUGGGCGUAAAGCGCGCGUAGGCGGACCUGCAAGUCGGGGGUGAAAGCCCGAGGCUCAGCCUCGGAACUGCCUUCGAUACUGCGGGUCUCGAGUCCGGGAGAGGUGAGUGGAAUUCCUAGUGUAGAGGUGAAAUUCGUAGAUAUUAGGAAGAACACCAGUGGCGAAGGCGGCUCACUGGCCCGGUACUGACGCUGAGGCGCGAAAGCGUGGGGAGCAAACAGG
Molecule: ribosomal RNA, 253 nt
Filed under: uncultured bacterium
Lineage: Bacteria
Description: partial 16S ribosomal RNA
Rfam family: Bacterial small subunit ribosomal RNA
Source: RNAcentral